UACGAAGGAGGCUAGCGUUGCUCGGAAUCACUGGGCGUAAAGGGUGCGUAGGCGGGGUUUUAAGUCAGGGGUGAAAUCCUGGAGCUCAACUCCAGAACUGCCUUUGAUACUGAAGAUCUCGAGUCCGGGAGAGGUGAGUGGAACUGCGAGUGUAGAGGUGAAAUUCGUAGAUAUUCGCAAGAACACCAGUGGCGAAGGCGGCUCACUGGCCCGAUACUGACGCUGAGGCACGAAAGCGUGGGGAGCAAACAGG
RNAcentral lists this ribosomal RNA (253 nucleotides) under uncultured bacterium. RNAcentral's name for it is "partial 16S ribosomal RNA". It matches the Rfam family "Bacterial small subunit ribosomal RNA", at positions 524 to 776 of the family's 1533-position model. The record is from RNAcentral.